AUCUUCACGUAUGAAAUCUAAAAGGGAAUGAAAAUCCCUAAUCUUCAUCUUCUCUUCUCUUCCAUAGGCGGCGUCAGUGGCCAAGGCUAUCGACGACGGCGACGAUUGGGGCCGCCAAUGGCGACGGUGACGCCCUGAGACCGUUUUCUCUUCUUCUCCUCUCUAUUAUUUCCUUAAAAGGAGAUUAUAAUCCCUAAUUCCAUCUUCUCAUUCUCUCCGGGAUAGCUUCCGAGGAGCCAUCUAUGGUAAACACCGAAUCUGAAAGGGCGCAUUGGCGGUGGUGCAACCUCAAUAGUCGUUCCCGCCCCAAAUACUAACCCCAUAACCUAAGAAUUACUGAAACCCGAGAGAGAGAGAGAGAGAGAGAGAGAGAGAGGAAAGAUGUCGACUGGUCACGGUUUCAGAUCAUGCACAAGAGACUCGUUCUCUCGCGCUUUCGGGAAGAAGGGUACAAUCCCUCUCAN
This 464-nucleotide long non-coding RNA is filed under the name Lupinus angustifolius (narrow-leaved blue lupine). Its description in RNAcentral is "long non-coding RNA (LANG_LNC003676)". Lineage: Eukaryota; Viridiplantae; Streptophyta; Magnoliopsida; Fabales; Fabaceae. The record is from RNAcentral.